RNAcentral lists this ribosomal RNA (253 nucleotides) under uncultured bacterium. Its description in RNAcentral is "partial 16S ribosomal RNA". It matches the Rfam family "Bacterial small subunit ribosomal RNA", at positions 524 to 776 of the family's 1533-position model. The record is from RNAcentral.
UACGGGGGGGGCAAGCGUUGUUCGGAAUUACUGGGCGUAAAGGGCUCGUAGGUGGCCAACUAAGUCGGACGUGAAAUCCCUCGGCUUAACCGGGGAACUGCGUCCGAUACUGGUUGGCUUGAGUUUGGGAGGGGGAUGCGGAAUUCCAGGUGUAGCGGUGAAAUGCGUAGAUAUCUGGAGGAACACCGGUGGCGAAGGCGGCAUCCUGGGCCAAUACUGACGCUGAGGAGCGAAAGCCAGGGGAGCAAACGGG